Molecule: unclassified non-coding RNA, 233 nt
Filed under: Hevea brasiliensis (rubber tree)
Lineage: Eukaryota; Viridiplantae; Streptophyta; Magnoliopsida; Malpighiales; Euphorbiaceae
Source: RNAcentral
AUUAUGUGAUCAAAAGAUCCCUAAUAAAGCGAAAGUAAGUUCUAUAUACUGAGGUCAAACCAACUAUAUUGUGUGAGAGUGAAUGUUAGGCAUCUAUGGUACUGCAUACCCUCAAGGGUGGCAGAAAUGUUGAUUGUAAGAUGGAUUCUGGCAACACAAUAAUAAUAGAUAAGAUUAUAAAUAAAUACACCCACCAGAGAAUACAUGUGGCACAUAUUGAAAAUAAAAUGAGA